UCCAUGAUUCAGGGAAGCCAUGUUCAGGAGGGUGGGGGAGAGGAAGUGUCCUGGACUCCACAGAAGACUCUGACCUCAGCCCAGAGAAUGCUCCAGAGUGGAUCAAGACCUCAGACUGUAUGGGUCUAAUUCUCCACUCGCUGGCAUCAGGUAUUGCAAUUUCCAGAUGUGCAAAAGCCAGUUUCUAGAACAUCUUCAGAAAGUGGUUUUCUAAUAGUAAGGAAACCAUAACAGUGGACAGUACAAGCUGUGG
This is a long non-coding RNA of Malaclemys terrapin pileata, 253 nucleotides long. RefSeq lists it as uncharacterized. The transcript is spliced from 3 exons. The record is from RefSeq and is a predicted model, not a curated record. NCBI's taxonomy places the organism in Eukaryota, Metazoa, Chordata, Testudines, Emydidae.